GGCUGCGGGGCGCGCAUAGCGGGCGCGGGCGGCUGGCGCGGAGACGGAGAUGCGGCCCGCCUGCGCUGCCCGCGGCUCCGCUCCUGGCGGCCUUUCACACCCAUACCCGGUAUUUCACAGGACCCUUGCAACUUCUGCCAGCCAUCCCAUAGAUGGGCGGGGGCUGGUGGCUGGCACUGGUUACCCCGUGGAAAGGUCACGAUCACGACAGAACCCAGUGCAACCACGUGGUUCUCCUCCAUCUUGACUGGUGACCUCAUCAUGAUUUCUUGUGAGCUCCAGGGAGUCGACUUGGAUCCAUCUGAACAGCAUCUUGCCAGGUCCAAGUAGUGCCGGACAGUUCCACAGAGCCUGGACAGUGAAGUGAAACAACCAGCUACAUCAAGAUGUGGCCAACACCCUAGUUUUCUCAGAUCUCCCAAAGAUGAUCAACGCCCCCCAGGUCAUCAGGAAGCAGUCUCGAGAACACAGUGCCCUCAUCCCCGCCUCACCUGCUACCCUGUUCUAACUCCUCACCUUUUUAUAAUAAACAAAAGGGAGGAAUAUUAGCAUUUAGGCAUCUUUAUUGACCUGCCCUUAGGGUCAUGACAGGAUCUAUCCUCAGCUGCAGCCACUAAGAGCACCCCCUGUGCACAUUCGCUACAUUUCCUUAUAAAAGGCGGGCCUUGCCCACCACCUGUCUCUUUCUCUCUCUCCUUCCCUCUCCUCGUCUCUUGGUUAUUUGAGACAAGGUUUCUCUGUGUAGCCUUAGCUGUUCUGGAACUUGAUCUACAGACCAGGGUGGCCUAGAACUCAGAGACUCACCUGCCUCUGCCUCCCUCAUGCUAGGAUUAAAGGUGUGCACCAUUAUGCCUAGCCUACACCUGACUUCUCAAAGGAGACUCUAAAGACAUGAGGGCCUGGACAGAUGUUCAAACUCUAAGAGAACACAGAUGCCAGCCAUGGCGACUCUACCUAGCAACAUUUUCAGUCACAAUAGUUGGAGAAAGGAAAAUGUUCCAUGAUAAAACUAAAUUUAAGCAACAAAUUGGACAACAAAUGAUACAGCUAACUCUCCCAGGACUUGACAUUUAACCCAACUUUUUCUUUUCAGAAUCUUCUAAAGAUGCUGUCACCCCUAGAUAACAGGAAGUAAAUUUAAGAACACUAUGUCCACAUUCCCAAGAGCUGGGGCAGGUGGUUUUUGGUUCUCGAAUGGGUUAUGGAUAUUUGUCAUUGUUUAGUGGGGUUGGUUACAAGUUGUUAUUGGUAAUGGUCAGAAAAAAAGCUGAACAAAGUUUAGAUUCAGGGUUCUUGUUUUGAAAAGAAAAAAAUGGGAUAAAGAAAUAGGAUAAAAGGAUAGAUUAUUGAAUCUACUUUUUUUGCUUUAUUUAAUUAAGGAUUUAAAAAAUCCAUUUUACAUAUUGAUCACAGAUCCCUCUCUCCUCCCUCCUCCCACCCCUCCCACCUCCCCCCCAAACCACCCCUAUUCCCUCCUCCAAAAAUCCAAGGUCUUCCCCGGGGAGUCUGCAGAGCCUGGUACAUUCAGUAGGGGUAGGUCCAAGCCCCUCCCCUUGCAUCAAUGCUGUGUAAGGUGUCCCACCAUAGGUAGUGGGCUCUAAAAAGCCAGCUCAUGCACCAGGGAUGGAUCCUUAUCCUACUGCCAAGGGGGCCUCUUAAGCAGAUCAAGCUACACAACUAUCUAGCUUAUGCAGAGGGCCUAGUCCAGUCCCAUGCAGGCUCCACAGGUGUUGGUCUAAAGUUCAUGAGUUCCCACUAGUUGGGUUUGGUUGUCUCUGUACAUUUCCCCAUCAUGAUCUUGAUGCUCCUUGCGCAUAGAAUCUCUCUUCUUUCUCUUCAACUGGACUCCUGGAGUUCUGCUUGGUGCUUGCCUGUGGAUCUCUGCAUCUGCUUCCAUCAGUUACUGGAUGAAGGCUCUCUUGGUCCAGUCAGAGCUGGCAGAUUCUCUGUCUCAGGAAGCCACUUUGAAUCCACUUUUAAAAAGCAACUACUUGUUUUAAAUAUUUUACAUUGAUAUGGAUCUUUGUACAUUGAUUAAAAGUUGAGAUUUUUUUU
Peromyscus californicus insignis is the source of this 2055-nucleotide long non-coding RNA. RefSeq lists it as uncharacterized. The record is from RefSeq and is a predicted model, not a curated record. Lineage: Eukaryota; Metazoa; Chordata; Mammalia; Rodentia; Cricetidae. The transcript is spliced from 2 exons.